RNAcentral lists this unclassified non-coding RNA (217 nucleotides) under Hevea brasiliensis (rubber tree). The record is from RNAcentral. Lineage: Eukaryota; Viridiplantae; Streptophyta; Magnoliopsida; Malpighiales; Euphorbiaceae.
GAAUCACCUGUCAAUCAAGUAAUACAAAUAGGAACUGCUUUUAUUGCUUUCAAGCUUGAAGCACCUUUGGCUCUUGUCCUCAGUCUUCCUUGCUCAAUAUUUAGUAUAAUUACGCUACUUUUCCUUUCAAAUAUGGUUGAAAGCUGUAAGAAUGUGCUAGGUGUUACAUUCAACUGAAAAAAAAAACAUGGACUUGUUUCCAUAUGUUUACGUGCAG